GGAAAGGCGAAAAGAACCCCGGCGAGGGGAGUGAAAAAGAACCUGAAACCGUGUACGUACAAGCAGUGGGAGCACCCUUCGGGGUGUGACUGCGUACCUUUUGUAUAAUGGGUCAGCGACUUAUAUUCUGUAGCAAGGUUAACCGUAUAGGGGAGCCGGAGGGAAACCGAGUCUUAAUUGGGCGUUAAGUUGCAGGGUAUAGACCCGAAACCCGGUGAUCUAGCCAUGGGCAGGUUGAAGGUUGGGUAACACUAACUGGAGGACCGAACCGACUAAUGUUGAAAAAUUAGCGGAUGACCUGUGGCUGGGGGUGAAAGGCCAAUCAAACCGGGAGAUAGCUGGUUCUCCCCGAAAGCUAUUUAGGUAGCGCCUCGUGAAUUCAUCUCCGGGGGUAGAGCACUGUUUCGGCUAGGGGGCCAUCCCGGCUUACCAACCCGAUGCAAACUGCGAAUACCGGAGAAUGUUAUCACGGGAGACACACGGCGGGUGCUAACGUCCGUCGUGAAGAGGGAAACAACCCAGACCGCCAGCUAAGGUCCCAAAGUCAUGGUUAAGUGGGAAACGAUGUGGGAAGGCCCAGACAGCCAGGAUGUUGGCUUAGAAGCAGCCAUCAUUUAAAGAAAGCGUAAUAGCUCACUGGUCGAGUCGGCCUGCGCGGAAGAUGUAACGGGGCUAAACCAUGCACCGAAGCUGCGGCAGCGAACGUAUCACCCAAGACAACUUUACGGAGUUGACGAUUGACGGAGCGAAGCGACGUCAAAGCGUUCAUUAAAGUCGAGUUGGCUUAGGGAUACGUUCGUUGGGUAGGGGAGCGUUCUGUAAGCCUGUGAAGGUGUGUCGUGAGGCAUGCUGGAGGUAUCAGAAGUGCGAAUGCUGACAUAAGUAACGAUAAAGCGGGUGAAAAGCCCGCUCGCCGGAAGACCAAGGGUUCCUGUCCAACGUUAAUCGGGGCAGGGUGAGUCGACCCCUAAGGCGAGGCCGAAAGGCGUAGUCGAUGGGAAACGGGUUAAUAUUCCCGUACUUGGUGUUACUGCGAAGGGGGGACGGAGAAGGCUAUGUUGGCCGGGCGACGGUUGUCCCGGUUUAAGCGUGUAGGUGUGUGUUCCAGGUAAAUCCGGUU
Molecule: ribosomal RNA, 1120 nt
Filed under: Salmonella enterica
Lineage: Bacteria; Pseudomonadati; Pseudomonadota; Gammaproteobacteria; Enterobacterales; Enterobacteriaceae
Description: partial 23S ribosomal RNA
Rfam family: Bacterial large subunit ribosomal RNA
Source: RNAcentral